This 350-nucleotide ribosomal RNA is filed under the name uncultured bacterium. Its description in RNAcentral is "bacterial SSU rRNA". It matches the Rfam family "Bacterial small subunit ribosomal RNA", at positions 356 to 698 of the family's 1533-position model. The record is from RNAcentral.
CGGGAAUAUUGGACAAUGGGCGCAAGCCUGAUCCAGCCAUGCCGCGUGUGUGAAGAAGGCCUUAGGGUUGUAAAGCACUUUCAGGAGUGAAGAAAGGCGUUGGGUGAAUAAUCUGACGUUUUGACGUUAGCUCCAGAAGAAGCACCGGCUAACUCCGUGCCAGCAGCCGCGGUAAUACGGAGGGUGCGAACGUUAAUCGGAAUUACUGGGCGUAAAGCGCGCGUAGGCGGCUUGUUAAGUCAGAUGUGAAAGCCCCGGGCUCAACCUGGGAAUUGCAUUUGAAACUGGCAAGCUAGAGUGCAGUAGAGGGAGGUGGAAUUCCAGGUGUAGCGGUGAAAUGCGUAGAUAUC